Molecule: ribosomal RNA, 460 nt
Filed under: bacterium MB2012
Lineage: Bacteria
Description: bacterial SSU rRNA
Rfam family: Bacterial small subunit ribosomal RNA
Source: RNAcentral
GAUGAACGCUGGCGGCGUGCCUAACACAUGCAAGUCGAACGGAGAUUUAACGCUGAUGAAGCUUCGGCAGAUUCUUGUUAAAUCUUAGUGGCGGACGGGUGAGUAACGCGUGGGCAACCUGCCUCAUACUGGGGGAUAACAGCUGGAAACGACUGUUAAUACCGCAUAAGCGCACGGUAUCGCAUGAUACAGUGUGAAAAACUCCGGUGGUAUGAGAUGGGCCCGCGUCAGAUUAGCCAGUUGGCAGGGUAACGGCCUACCAAAGCGACGAUCUGUAGCCGGCCUGAGAGGGCGGACGGCCACAUUGGGACUGAGACACGGCCCAAACUCCUACGGGAGGCAGCAGUGGGGGAUAUUGCACAAUGGAGGAAACUCUGAUGCAGCGACGCCGCGUGAGUGAAGAAGUAUUUCGGUAUGUAAAGCUCUAUCAGCAGGGAAGAAAGACUCGUAAGAGAGAUGA